AUACGGAGGAUGCGAGCGUUGUCCGGAUUUAUUGGGUUUAAAGGGUGCGUAGGUGGUAAUUUAAGUCAGCGGUGAAAGUUUGUGGCUCAACCAUAAAAUUGCCGUUGAAACUGGGUUACUUGAGUGUGUUUGAGGUAGGCGGAAUGCGUGGUGUAGCGGUGAAAUGCAUAGAUAUCACGCAGAACUCCAAUUGCGAAGGCAGCUUACUAAACCAUAACUGACACUGAAGCACGAAAGCGUGGGUAUCAAACAGGAUUAGAUACCCUGGUAGUCCACGCAGUAAACGAUGAUUACUAGGAGUUUGCGAUACACGGUAAGCUCUACAGCGAAAGCGUUAAGUAAUCCACCUGGGGAGUACGCCGGCAACGGUGAAACUCAAAUGAAUUGGCGGGG
This 393-nucleotide ribosomal RNA is filed under the name uncultured bacterium. RNAcentral describes it as "partial 16S ribosomal RNA". It matches the Rfam family "Bacterial small subunit ribosomal RNA", at positions 523 to 918 of the family's 1533-position model. The record is from RNAcentral.